RNAcentral lists this ribosomal RNA (617 nucleotides) under uncultured ciliate. RNAcentral describes it as "SSU rRNA". It matches the Rfam family "Eukaryotic small subunit ribosomal RNA", at positions 386 to 1020 of the family's 1831-position model. The record is from RNAcentral. Lineage: Eukaryota; Ciliophora.
GAGAGGGAGCCUGAGAAACGGCUACCACAUCUAAGGAAGGCAGCAGGCGCGUAAAUUACCCAAUCCUGAUUCAGGGAGGUAGUGACAAGAAAUAGCAAACUGGAUGAAUUUUCAUCACAGUAUUGCAAUGAGAACAAUGUAAAUGCUUUAUCGAUUAACAAUUGGAGGGCAAGUCUGGUGCCAGCAGCCGCGGUAAUUCCAGCUCCAAUAGCGUAUAUUAAAGUUGUUGCAGUUAAAAAGCUCGUAGUUGAACUUCUGUACAUUCCCAGUUCUGGCUUCGGUCAAGCUGUGGAGUGUGCAUCCGCUUGCAAACUUAGACCGGCCUUCACUGGUCGACUAAGGGAGUAAGCCCUUUACUUUGAAAAAAUUAGAGUGUUUCAGGCAGGCUUUGGCUCGAAUACAUUAGCAUGGAAUAAUGGAAUAGGACUUUUGUCCAUUUGGUUGGUUAUUGGACAUAAGUAAUGAUUAAAAGGGACAGUUGGGGGCAUUAGUAUUUAAUUGUCAGAGGUGAAAUUCUUGGAUUUAUUAAAGACUAACUUAUGCGAAAGCAUUUGCCAAGGAUGUUUUCAUUAAUCAAGAACGAAAGUUAGGGGAUCAAAGACGAUCAGAUACCGUCA